RNAcentral lists this long non-coding RNA (472 nucleotides) under Pongo abelii (Sumatran orangutan). Its description in RNAcentral is "lincRNA". The record is from RNAcentral. Lineage: Eukaryota; Metazoa; Chordata; Mammalia; Primates; Hominidae.
GAGGCUGACUUGGGAGGAUUGCUUGAGCCCAGGAGUUCCAGGCUGAAGUGAGCCAUGAUUGUGUCACUGCACUCCAGCUUGGAAAACAGAGUGAGAUCAUGACUCAAACAAAAAAAUUGGCUUCAGGAGGAAUUUCAUGGAACCUUGUAUUCUGUUGAAUACCAGAAUUAUAUCAGCAAUCCCCAAGCCCCAGAGUCACCAAACGGGCAUCAUCAUGACAGCAGACUCCAUCAUGAAUUCAUUGCACCACUCAGUGCCCUGAUGCUAUAACAUCGUGGAUUUAUUUUGUCCAGUGAGAGGACAAAAGCUGAAGCAUAGACAAUAUUAUAGGGUAGAAGGUUAACUAGACCCUAGUCAUGGGCUACAUUCUCUGUACCAACUUCAUAGCUCCAGUCAGAAAAUAAAUUCCUGCAUCCAGGAGAGGUGGAGUAAGAGAUACAGCUCACCUUGACCACAUUUCUUACUUCCGAGA